GACGAACGCUGGCGGCGUGCUUAACACAUGCAAGUCGAACGGAAAGGCCCCUUUGGGGGUACUCGAGUGGCGAACGGGUGAGUAACACGUGAGUAACCUGCCCUUGACUUCGGGAUAACUUCAGGAAACUGGGGCUAAUACCGGAUAGGAAUCCUUGCUGCAUGGUGGGGGUUGGAAAGCUUCGGCGGUUUUGGAUGGACUCGCGGCUUAUCAGCUUGUUGGUGGGGUAGUGGCUUACCAAGGCUUUGACGGGUAGCCGGCCUGAGAGGGCGACCGGCCACAUUGGGACUGAGAUACGGCCCAGACUCCUACGGGAGGCAGCAGUGGGGAAUAUUGCACAAUGGGCGGAAGCCUGGUGCAGCAACGCCGCGUGCGGGAUGACGGCCUUCGGGUUGUAAACCGCUUUCAGCAGGGGCGAAGCUUUUGUGACGGUACCUGCAGAAGAAGCACCGGCUAACUACGUG
This 464-nucleotide ribosomal RNA is filed under the name uncultured bacterium. RNAcentral's name for it is "partial 16S ribosomal RNA". It matches the Rfam family "Bacterial small subunit ribosomal RNA", at positions 28 to 507 of the family's 1533-position model. The record is from RNAcentral.